GAGGGUGUAGCUCAGUGGAAGAGCACUUGCCUAUCAUGAGUGAAGCCUGGGUUCAAUCCUCAGUACCAUUA
RNAcentral lists this transfer RNA (71 nucleotides) under Ictidomys tridecemlineatus (thirteen-lined ground squirrel). Its description in RNAcentral is "Spermophilus tridecemlineatus (thirteen-lined ground squirrel) tRNA". It matches the Rfam family "tRNA". Rfam says of the family: Transfer RNA (tRNA) molecules are approximately 80 nucleotides in length. Their secondary structure includes four short double-helical elements and three loops (D, anti-codon, and T loops). Further hydrogen bonds mediate the characteristic L-shaped molecular structure. tRNAs have two regions of fundamental functional importance: the anti-codon, which is responsible for specific mRNA codon recognition, and the 3' end, to which the tRNAs corresponding amino acid is attached (by aminoacyl-tRNA synthetases). tRNAs cope with the degeneracy of the genetic code in two manners: having more than one tRNA (with a specific anti-codon) for a particular amino acid; and 'wobble' base-pairing, i.e. permitting non-standard base-pairing at the 3rd anti-codon position. The record is from Rfam by way of RNAcentral. Lineage: Eukaryota; Metazoa; Chordata; Mammalia; Rodentia; Sciuridae.